Molecule: ribosomal RNA, 505 nt
Filed under: uncultured bacterium
Lineage: Bacteria
Description: bacterial SSU rRNA
Rfam family: Bacterial small subunit ribosomal RNA
Source: RNAcentral
AUUGAACGCUGGCGGAAUGCUUUACACAUGCAAGUCGAACGGCAGCACGGGGCAACCUGGUGGCGAGUGGCGAACGGGUGAGUAAUACAUCGGAACGUGCCCAAUCGUGGGGGAUAACGUAGCGAAAGUUACGCUAAUACCGCAUACGAUCUACGGAUGAAAGCGGGGGAUCGCAAGACCUCGCGCGAAUGGAGCGGCCGAUGUCAGAUUAGGUAGUUGGUGGGGUAAAGGCUCACCAAGCCAAUGAUCUGUAGCUGGUCUGAGAGGACGACCAGCCACACUGGAACUGAGACACGGUCCAGACUCCUACGGGAGGCAGCAGUGGGGAAUUUUGGACAAUGGGCGCAAGCCUGAUCCAGCCAUUCCGCGUGCAGGAUGAAGGCCUUCGGGUUGUAAACUGCUUUUGUACGGUAACGAAACGGUACUGCCCUAAUACGGCGGGCUAAUGACGGUACCGUAAGAAUAAGCACCGGCUAACUACGUGCCAGCAGCCGCGGUAAUCGUG